Non-coding RNA from Vicia faba (fava bean), 381 nucleotides. The record is from the annotation of a GenBank genome assembly. Lineage: Eukaryota; Viridiplantae; Streptophyta; Magnoliopsida; Fabales; Fabaceae.
AUGGUGGCAGAAGAGAAAAGAAAGAGGUCGCAGCAGAGGAUGGCUUCUCACGGUGGUUACCUGCGACGGCUCACGGCGGCGGCGCCAAUAGAUCUUCAAAUAACGUUCAAGGAGUUUUUUUCCCAAAAUAUCACAAACAACACAAAAUUAAAGAAAGUAAGGGUGGAUUCGCGUUCAGAGAGAGAAACUCAACCUUCUGGAGCAAGAAAGGAAGAGGACAGCGGAGACUUGGGGCUCAGGUGCGGCGGUCGGACGGUAUUCCGACGAAGAAGUUCUGGCUCGCGCGAGUGGGUCGAAAAUCCGGCGAGAGGAGGUGAGAUUGUAAAUGGAAUUUAUCUUUGGUGUUCAAGCGUGUGGAUGCAAGGGCAGAAUUGUGAUUGA